RNAcentral lists this ribosomal RNA (684 nucleotides) under uncultured bacterium. RNAcentral describes it as "bacterial SSU rRNA". It matches the Rfam family "Bacterial small subunit ribosomal RNA", at positions 78 to 774 of the family's 1533-position model. The record is from RNAcentral.
CGGAAGCAUUAGAAGUGACUUAGUGGCGGACGGGUGAGUAACGCGUGGGUAACCUGCCCUGUACUGGGGGACAACAGUUGGAAACGGCUGCUAAUACCGCAUAAGCGCACAGCAUCGCAUGGUGCAGUGUGAAAAACUCCGGUGGUACAGGAUGGACCCGCGUCUGAUUAGCUAGUUGGUGGGGUAACGGCCUACCAAGGCGACGAUCAGUAGCCGGCCUGAGAGGGUGAACGGCCACAUUGGGACUGAGACACGGCCCAGACUCCUACGGGAGGCAGCAGUGGGGAAUAUUGCACAAUGGGCGCAAGCCUGAUGCAGCGACGCCGCGUGAGUGAUGAAGUAUUUCGGUAUGUAAAGCUAUAUCAGCAGGGAAGAAAAUGACGGUACCUGACUAAGAAGCACCGGCUAAAUACGUGCCAGCAGCCGCGGUAAUACGUAUGGUGCAAGCGUUAUCCGGAUUUACUGGGUGUAAAGGGAGCGUAGGCGGCAUGGCAAGUCAGAUGUGAAAGCCCGGGGCCCAACCCCGGAACUGCAUUUGAAACUGUCAGGCUAGAGUACCGGAGAGGUAAGCGGAAUUCCUAGUGUAGCGGUGAAAUGCGUAGAUAUUAGGAGGAACACCAGUGGCGAAAGGCGGCUUACUGGACGGUAACUGACGCUGAGGCUCGGAAGCGUGGGGAGCAAACA